AUGGGCAUGCCUAUGAAGCCGAUGACAAUGCAGGAGAACCACUCCCUGAGCGACAGAGGGGUGGUGUUCGCAAAGUCGCCAAGGAACUGUACUAUGAUGAUCUGGAAUACGACCGUGCUGCCGAGCACCGCGACAAACACGUUGUUGUCUAGAAUGCCUUUGAAUACAUUUAUCCUCUCCAUCUCUCUGGAGCUCACCUCGUUGAACACCUGCAUAACGAAAACUUCAGCUCAUUUUCGUACACUGUCACCCAGAAAAACUAGUAUGGUUCUUUUUUUCAUUCAAAAUUAUUAUUUGGUAAUGAAGUCGUCAGACUUUGUUGCCUUGGUAAGUGUUCAUAGUUUGCCAUAUUAUGAUAGUGACAGAGAAGCAUUAUAG
This 378-nucleotide ribosomal RNA is filed under the name Triticum aestivum (bread wheat). Its description in RNAcentral is "partial small subunit ribosomal RNA". The record is from RNAcentral. Lineage: Eukaryota; Viridiplantae; Streptophyta; Magnoliopsida; Poales; Poaceae.